Molecule: long non-coding RNA, 284 nt
Filed under: Brassica napus (rape)
Lineage: Eukaryota; Viridiplantae; Streptophyta; Magnoliopsida; Brassicales; Brassicaceae
Description: long non-coding RNA (BNAP_LNC005621)
Source: RNAcentral
UUUUUUUUUUUUUUCAAAUUUUCUUUUUAUAAUUUAAAAAUACUUUUUAAAACUGUUUUUAAAAUUUUUAUUUUUUAUUUUAAUAUUUUUUUUUUAUAAAAUUUUAAACCCUAAUUCCAAAACCCCACCCCUUAACUCUAAACCCUAAGGUUUGGAUUAAUUAACCCAAGGGGUAUAAGUGUAUAUUUACCUCUUUAAUGAAACCUAUUUUUGUGACUUUGAACCUUGAGUGCUACUUUGGGAACAUAAACUUGGUUUGGUGCUAUCCUAGUCUUUUUCUCUAU